RNAcentral lists this ribosomal RNA (460 nucleotides) under uncultured bacterium. RNAcentral's name for it is "partial 16S ribosomal RNA". It matches the Rfam family "Bacterial small subunit ribosomal RNA", at positions 338 to 795 of the family's 1533-position model. The record is from RNAcentral.
CCUACGGGCGGCUGCAGUGAGGAAUAUUGGUCAAUGGACGAGAGUCUGAACCAGCUAAGUAGCGUGAAGGAUGACUGCCCUAUGGGUUGUAAACUUCUUUUAUAUGGGAAUAAAAUGUUCCACGUGUGGGAUUUUGUAUGUACCAUAUGAAUAAGGAUCGGCUAACUCCGUGCCAGCAGCCGCGGUAAUACGGAGGAUCCGAGCGUUAUCCGGAUUUAUUGGGUUUAAAGGGAGCGUAGGUGGAUUGUUAAGUCAGUUGUGAAAGUUUGCGGCUCAACCGUAAAAUUGCAGUUGAAACUGGCAGUCUUGAGUACAGUAGAGGUGGGCGGAAUUCGUGGUGUAGCGGUGAAAUGCUUAGAUAUCACGAAGAACUCCGAUGGCGAGGGCAGUUCACUGGACUGCAACUGACACUGAGGCUCGAAAGUGUGGGUAUCAAACAGGAUUAGAUACCCUGGUAGUC